Molecule: ribosomal RNA, 439 nt
Filed under: uncultured bacterium
Lineage: Bacteria
Description: partial 16S ribosomal RNA
Rfam family: Bacterial small subunit ribosomal RNA
Source: RNAcentral
CUACGGGGCGCUGCAGUGGGGAAUAUUGCACAAUGGAGGAAACUCUGAUGCAGCAACGCCGCGUGGAGGAUGACACUUUUCGGAGCGUAAACUCCUUUUAUAUAGGAAGAAGAUGACGGUACUAUAUGAAUAAGCGCCGGCUAACUCCGUGCCAGCAGCCGCGGUAAUACGGAGGGCGCAAGCGUUACUCGGAGUCACUGGGCGUAAAGAGCGUGUAGGCGGAUUAAAAAGUCAGAAGUGAAAUCCUAUAGCUUAACUAUAGAACUGCUUCUGAAACUCUUAAUCAAGAAUAUGGGAGAGGUAGAUGGAAUUUCUGGUGUAGGGGUAAAAUCCGUAGAGAUCAGAAGGAAUACCGAUUGCGAAGGCGAUCUACUAGAACAUUAUUGACGCUGAGACGCGAAAGCGUGGGGAGCAAACAGGAUUAGAUACCCUCGUAGUC